RNAcentral lists this small RNA (180 nucleotides) under Melaminivora alkalimesophila. RNAcentral describes it as "6S / SsrS RNA". Lineage: Bacteria; Pseudomonadati; Pseudomonadota; Betaproteobacteria; Burkholderiales; Comamonadaceae. The record is from RNAcentral.
AAGCGUCUGCGGAGCUGCCGGGCCUUAUAUUGCCUUGAACCAAUGCUCCUAGAGCACGGGCUUGGUACAUUGCCCGGCGGGCGUGAUCAUCUCGCGUCAGAUGAACCCAACGCCAGGCUGCCCUCGCCCACCUGAACCCCCGGUUCAGGUUGCCGGUCCGGUGGCAUCCGCAGACACCUC